GCCAAUUUUAGAUCCAAUGCUGGAUUCAUUUAGUUAUAAAAGCAUGGUACUUUGACCAAUGUAUUUUCUUGGUAAUAACAACAACGGUGCUUCAACAGUGGCUUUAUUUUUUUUAUUUAUUUAUUCAUUCGUUUGAAUUAAUAGUGGUUGCCAAGGAAGUGUAACCACAACAAAGAUGCCACCAGAGACAUGAGGGAAACAAGGCUUGCUUGAAGCAGAGACUUGAAGUAGGCUUUAAAACCCUUUCACAACAAGAUUACAUCUAUUUAUCCACUCCACAAUGUCUGAAGGAGACAGAAACAGCACACACUGUGUCAACCCUGGGAACCCUGUGUUUUCUUGUAUGAUGAAUCCAGUUUCUCAGAUGUUAUCUCAAGACACACAAAAAGGCAUCGCUAGUCUUUACAAGAGAACAUCCUCUGAUUAUGGACACGUCCCUCCAACAUUCGAAUCUUCACCCUGCACCUACCAUCCUUUAUCACAGAAAUUCUCAGAUCAGCUGGGAAAGUGUGGAAUGUAUCGUGAUAAUUCCUUCAAUACUAGCUUGGACAGAAGCAAGGUGUAACUGCAGUUGGCAGUUUGAUUGUUGAACUCUCGGACAGUGCUAGUUAAGUAACAGUUACUAUACUGGAUGUUCUACAACACAUUGUAAACUAGGAUGAUGACAAUGUAGUCUAAGUUUGAGCAUAAUCCUUCCUCAAUAAAAAAUCAAAGAUGAAAGCAAAA
Molecule: long non-coding RNA, 726 nt
Organism: Sardina pilchardus (European sardine)
Lineage: Eukaryota; Metazoa; Chordata; Actinopteri; Clupeiformes; Clupeidae
Exons: 2
Source: RefSeq, a predicted model, not a curated record